GGGCUGAUCCCUUUUUCUUCUUCCAUUAUUUCUUCUGGGAGGCAUUUUCUAUUAACGGAUGAAGGAACAGUUAGAAAUAGGAAAUUAAAUAGAGGUCAUGCUCUUUCGCACAAUAGGAAAACUUAAUUAAGGGAAACUUUCCUAAAACGUCUCGUAGCCUCUUUCCCAUAAAUGUGUCACGCUUCUCACCCAUACAAACUACAGAUUUUAGAUACCCUAGG
Molecule: long non-coding RNA, 221 nt
Filed under: Capsicum annuum
Lineage: Eukaryota; Viridiplantae; Streptophyta; Magnoliopsida; Solanales; Solanaceae
Description: long non-coding RNA (CANN_LNC001012)
Source: RNAcentral